UCCAGGGGGUGGAAGCUAAGACUGAUAAAAGCAAGCAAAUUAUUUACAGUUUGCUUUUGUUGGCCUCUGCUGCCGGGUCCUGGA
MicroRNA precursor from Gallus gallus (chicken), 84 nucleotides. The record is from Ensembl. NCBI's taxonomy places the organism in Eukaryota, Metazoa, Chordata, Aves, Galliformes, Phasianidae.